Molecule: ribosomal RNA, 490 nt
Filed under: uncultured bacterium
Lineage: Bacteria
Description: partial 16S ribosomal RNA
Rfam family: Bacterial small subunit ribosomal RNA
Source: RNAcentral
GAUGAACGCUCGCUACAGGCUUAACACAUGCAAGUCGCGGGGCAGCAUGGGGGUUGCUUGCAAUCCCCGAUGGCGACCGGCGCACGGGUGAGUAACGCGUAUCCAACCUGCCCUUCACCACGGGAUAACCCGGCGAAAGUCGGACUAAUACCGUAUGUUGUCCAUUGACGGCCUCCGAUUUGGACGAAAGGUUUGGCGGUGAAGGAUGGGGAUGCGUCCGAUUAGCUGGACGGCGGGGUGACGGCCCACCGUGGCGACGAUCGGUAGGGGUUCUGAGAGGAAGGUCCCCCACACUGGAACUGAGACACGGUCCAGACUCCUACGGGAGGCAGCAGUGAGGAAUAUUGGUCAAUGGGCGUAAGCCUGAACCAGCCAAGUAGCGUGCAGGAUGACGGCCCUAUGGGUUGUAAACUGCUUUUAUGCGGGGAUAAAGUGGCCCACGUGUGGGUUUUUGCAGGUACCGCAUGAAUAAGGACCGGCUAAUUCCGUG